This 445-nucleotide ribosomal RNA is filed under the name uncultured bacterium. Its description in RNAcentral is "bacterial SSU rRNA". It matches the Rfam family "Bacterial small subunit ribosomal RNA", at positions 1054 to 1501 of the family's 1533-position model. The record is from RNAcentral.
GUCAGCUCGUGUCGUGAGAUGUUGGGUUAAGUCCCGCAACGAGCGCAACCCACGCCCUUAGUUGCCAGCAUUAAGUUGGGCACUCUAGGGGAACCGCCGGUGAUAAGCCGGAGGAAGGUGGGGAUGACGUCAAGUCCUCAUGGCCCUUACACGCUGGGCUACACACGUGCUACAAUGGCGGACAAUGGGCUGCUACCUCGCGAGGGGAAGCUAAUCCCAAAAAGCCGUCUCAGUUCGGAUUGUUNUCUGCAACUCGAGAGCAUGAAGGCGGAAUCGCUAGUAAUCGCGGAUCAGCAUGCCGCGGUGAAUACGUUCCCAGGCCUUGUACACACCGCCCGUCACACCAUGGGAGUUGGAUUCACCCGAAGGCGUUGCGCUAACCCGUAAGGGAGGCAGGCGACCACGGUGGGUUUAGCGACUGGGGUGAAGUCGUAACAAGGUAACC